Molecule: long non-coding RNA, 1380 nt
Organism: Musa acuminata AAA Group (dessert banana)
Lineage: Eukaryota; Viridiplantae; Streptophyta; Magnoliopsida; Zingiberales; Musaceae
Exons: 3
Source: RefSeq, a predicted model, not a curated record
CUCGAGAGCACAAGGAGACCACCGCCACCUCGCGUAGGGGGGAGAUGGGGAAGAAAGAGGACGAGAGGAGGACAGUAGUCGUUGGGCGUCGUCACCGAGGCCACCUACGUCCGUAUCGGCAAGGUGGUCGAGGAGCUUGUGAUUUGUAGGAAUAAACUUCUUACAGUGCUGGUGUCCUUUUCAAAGCAAAAAAAGAAGAAAAAACUUUGAUCAUCACUUGCUAGGAGAUGAACAGUAAGAUGAGUGAAGGUGGCAAGUUUCGGGAGGGAACAGCAGGAGAAUUACCGAGAUGAGUUUUGAAGAAUACAAAGGUGCCAGGUUGUUGAUUUCUGGAUUUAGGGAGCAUGAGCACCUGAAGAGACCAAGCAUGAACUGUCUCGUAUCAUGUGUAUGUUCUCUUUCUAACAUGUAGGUGCCAAAAUUCCCAGGUGGUGUGAUUCAUCAUUGCAGCCCCACGUCUUGUUCAAAGAAACAAAGAACAAACAACUGCCAGAAAAGGCUACGAUAAACUUGGCUGCCGUAAAAGAAGGGAAAUGGGCAACUCAAGCAUUCAUUAUUCACUGGGAAUCAUUCUUGGAGUGCCGGCCGUGACCAGCCGUUGAUGAGAAGGGGGGGCUGUAGUUUUCGCUGCGGUCAAUGGAGACGGGGACGGGGAUGGAGAUGGCCACCGUGCGGUCCCCGUCGCCUGAUAAGACGGGGCAAGUCCUCUCCACCCAAUCUGUGGUGCACUGCCAACUCGUUGAACGAGAAGGAUUGCUCGGGCAUUAGCGACACGUUCUCCCUCUCUUGGUGCAAGAAGAAGAACUACAAGGUGACGGGAGGGGUCCAUGAGAUCUUGAGCGGGUCCCGCGCAUCGCAUGGAAGAUGACCGGGUCACGUCACAUUAUGUUGACUUCGUCACCCACCACAAGCCUUCUUUUGGAGGUGUUACCCGAAAGAAAAGUCCAAAGUCCAGUUUCUACCACCAAGCUGAGCUCGAGGAGACCGUUCGAUGGAGCAAACAACGACUGCAAAGUCUUCCUUUGAAGGUGUCACCCAAAAGGAAAGCCUAAGUCCAGUUUCUGUCACCAAGCUGAGCUCAAGGAUACCAUCCAAUGGAGCAAACUAGAAGAACUGCAAGUCUUCCUUUGGAGGUGUCACCCAAAAGAAAAACUCCAAGUCGAGUUUCUGCCACGAAGCUGAUCUCGAGGAGGCCAUUCAAUAAUGGAGCACGCAAGAAGGGCACGGAUGAGAGGUGACUUCUCAGCCGACACACUCAUCCUCCCUUGCAGUAAACUCUUCUUUGACCUUCGGUGGACAAUCCAGAUAUUUAUGUGUUCCUUUAUCUCUCAGACUCUGACACUCAAAAAGAUGAUCUUAAAUGAAAAAUGAAUUCGAAUC